Molecule: ribosomal RNA, 505 nt
Filed under: Salmonella enterica subsp. enterica serovar Enteritidis
Lineage: Bacteria; Pseudomonadati; Pseudomonadota; Gammaproteobacteria; Enterobacterales; Enterobacteriaceae
Description: partial 23S ribosomal RNA
Rfam family: Bacterial large subunit ribosomal RNA (bases 1-387)
Source: RNAcentral
UCGUCACACUAUCAUUAACUGAAUCCAUAGGUUAAUGAGGCGAACCGGGGGAACUGAAACAUCUAAGUACCCCGAGGAAAAGAAAUCAACCGAGAUUCCCCCAGUAGCGGCGAGCGAACGGGGAGGAGCCCAGAGCCUGAAUCAGCAUGUGUGUUAGUGGAAGCGUCUGGAAAGGCGCGCGAUACAGGGUGACAGCCCCGUACACAAAAGCGCAUGUGCUGUGAGCUCGAUGAGUAGGGCGGGACACGUGGUAUCCUGUCUGAAUAUGGGGGGACCAUCCUCCAAGGCUAAAUACUCCUGACUGACCGAUAGUGAACCAGUACCGUGAGGGAAAGGCGAAAAGAACCCCGGCGAGGGGAGUGAAAAAGAACCUGAAACCGUGUACGUACAAGCAGUGGGAGCCCCACCACCAAAGCAUUUGCUGUACCGCGUUGACGGAGCGAAGCGACGUCAAACCGAUAAAACAGCAGUGUAAAGUGAGCCGCAGGGCGCUUUGCGCGACAGC